UGAAAGUGGGGUUUUGGGGAAGGGGGAUUUGCCCCGUUAUUUUGGCUGCAAGCUCCACCUGAAUGGGUUCACGUUAGAACACUACCUGGUGGCAGUGAUCACUCAAGCUCCAGUGAGAAAAUUAUUCAUCCCAUAGCCAAGGCACAGGUGUCUCGGCAAGUGCUCGUCCAGGAGCCGAAGGUGCUUCACUCUGCCCAGAACUUUUGUUUCACUUUUAACAGGCUGUUGCUGAUGGCCUUGAGCCAGUAGUUUAUAGACCAGUCCUACAGCACGGGACCCGAGGGUGGUCUUCUGUACCAGCACUCAGGCUUCGGUGGAACAACAAACUUGCGAACAGAGAAGAAAAGAGUCCCAGAAAAUGGGCUUAAAAUUACCGAAUACCCUUCAUAUAGCAAAUUAUGCACUUCCUCUUCAUGGCGAUGGCAGCAAAAUCAGCACAGUGUUUCCUCUGUCCUGGGACCCUGCACCACGCUUGUCUGAAUGCUCCCACCUCAAACUGGCUGCCCCAGCAUUUUAUGGAAGCUAUCCUCAUUCUGACUGCAGUCUCUACAGUUUUUCAUCUUUGCUCACAUCUGCACUUCCUGCUCCCAGCUGCAACAGAGAUCAGAAAUGAUAGAACACCACGAAAGAAAGGCCAUCCUGGUAGCAUUUCCAGCUUGACUGCAUACAACAAAUACCAGGAAUCUUGGAAGAGAAUGUAUUUGCAGAUGCCCAGCCCCGUGUUCAGAUGGAUAUCUGAACACUUAGGUGCUUAACCACCAGAACUCCUGAUAGUAGCAGUAAGCAAUCUUCUGAGUUUUCUAAAUCGAUAACGUUGUUUUAUAUCAUUAAAGCUGUGAAAAUUUAAUGCCAACAGUAGUUGCGUCACUUGGGUAGGUACCUGCCUUGUGGAUACAUUCAGGCAGUGAGAAGUGAAGCAUUUGUUCAGUUGUACUUUAUGGUUUACAGUUCUACAGGUGCAAAGCAAGAAGCCAGUCAGAAACCAAAGGGACAAUAUAGACUUGUUGCAUAGUUUUGUCCUUUCAAGAAACCAUGUAAUAAAUAGGUUGCCCAGAGAGCUGGUGGACACCCCAUCCCUGGAAACACUCAAGUUCAGGCUGGAGGGGCUCUGAGCAUC
Centrocercus urophasianus (Greater sage-grouse) is the source of this 1117-nucleotide long non-coding RNA. RefSeq lists it as uncharacterized. The transcript is spliced from 3 exons. Lineage: Eukaryota; Metazoa; Chordata; Aves; Galliformes; Phasianidae. The record is from RefSeq and is a predicted model, not a curated record.